Peromyscus californicus insignis is the source of this 372-nucleotide non-coding RNA. The record is from the annotation of a RefSeq genome assembly. NCBI's taxonomy places the organism in Eukaryota, Metazoa, Chordata, Mammalia, Rodentia, Cricetidae.
AUGAGGGCCUCUACUCAGCUCCUGGGUUUUCUGCUGCUCUGGUUUACAGGAGCCAGAUGUGACAUCCAGAUGACCCAGUCUCCAGCCUCCCUGUCUACAUCUCUGGGAGACAGUGUCACCAUUACAUGCCGUGCAAGUGAGGACAUUUUUGAAUAUUUAGCAUGGUAUCAGCAGAAACCAGGGAAACCUCCUAAGCUCCUCAUCUAUGGUGCUAACAGUUUGGCAGAUGGGGUCCCAUCAAGGUUCAGUGGCAGUGGAUCUGGCACACAGUAUUCUUUCAAGAUCAGUAGCCUGCAGCUUGAAGAUUUUGCAACCUAUUACUGUCAACAGCAUUACAGUACCCCUCCCACAGUGAUACGAGCCAUGACAUAA